AUUGAACGCUGGCGGCAGGCUUAACACAUGCAAGUCGAGCGAGCGGCGGACGGGUGAGUAAUGUCUGGGAAACUGCCUGAUGGAGGGGGAUAACUACUGGAAACGGUAGCUAAUACCGCAUACCAUCAGAUGUCCCCAGAUGGGCUUAGCUAGUAGGUGGGGAAAUGCUUCACCUAGGCGACGAUCCCUAGCUGGUCUGAGAGGAUGACCAGCCACACGGGGACUGAGACACGGUCCAGACUCCGACGGGAGGCAGCAGUGGGGAAUCUUCCGCAAUGGGCGAAAGCCUGACGGAGCAACGCCGCGUGAGUGAUGAAGGUCUUCGGAUCGUAAAGCUCUGUUAUUAGGGAAGCGGUACCUAAUCAAGAAGCAACGGCUAACUACGUGCCAGCAGCCGCGGUAAUUC
RNAcentral lists this ribosomal RNA (406 nucleotides) under uncultured bacterium. RNAcentral's name for it is "partial 16S ribosomal RNA". It matches the Rfam family "Bacterial small subunit ribosomal RNA", at positions 30 to 526 of the family's 1533-position model. The record is from RNAcentral.